RNAcentral lists this ribosomal RNA (517 nucleotides) under uncultured Streptomyces sp. RNAcentral's name for it is "bacterial SSU rRNA". It matches the Rfam family "Bacterial small subunit ribosomal RNA", at positions 144 to 675 of the family's 1533-position model. The record is from RNAcentral. Lineage: Bacteria; Bacillati; Actinomycetota; Actinomycetes; Kitasatosporales; Streptomycetaceae.
CAAGCCCUGGAAACGGGGUCUAAUACCGGAUAUGACUGUCCACCGCAUGGUGGAUGGUGUAAAGCUCCGGCGGUGCAGGAUGAGCCCGCGGCCUAUCAGCUUGUUGGUGAGGUAGUGGCUCACCAAGGCGACGACGGGUAGCCGGCCUGAGAGGGCGACCGGCCACACUGGGACUGAGACACGGCCCAGACUCCUACGGGAGGCAGCAGUGGGGAAUAUUGCACAAUGGGCGAAAGCCUGAUGCAGCGACGCCGCGUGAGGGAUGACGGCCUUCGGGUUGUAAACCUCUUUCAGCAGGGAAGAAGCGCAAGUGACGGUACCUGCAGAAGGAGCACCGGCUAACUACGUGCCAGCAGCCGCGGUAAUACGUAGGGUGCGAGCGUUGUCCGGAAUUAUUGGGCGUAAAGAGCUCGUAGGCGGCUUGUCACGUCGGAUGUGAAAGCCCGGGGCUUAACCCCGGGUCUGCAUUCGAUACGGGCAGGCUAGAGUUCGGUAGGGGAGAUCGGAAUUCCUGGUG